CUUGAAUACGGUGAAUCAUUCACCAUGUUUAAAUACAAUGAAUAGUUCACCAUGUUUUCCCUUCUACCCUUUCUAUUAUUAUAUGGUGGGGUUCCCUACGAGACCUCCAAGGUUGUGGAAGGAACCACCGCGGAGAGAGACUCAUAAGUCGUUAGUGGUUGCGGUUGUUUGUGGUGGCCGUGGUUGUGGCGGUGGGAAGAGGUGGUAGAGGAGGUAGAGUUGGAGUGCAUAGGGUGCAGCGAUGGUGAAGGAGUAGGAUGCGGUAGCGGUGGUGGAGGAGGCAUAUAGGAGGAGGAGGAGAAGGGAUGCGGCGGAUGAUGAUGACAACAGAGAGAGAGAGAGAGAGAGAGAGAGAGAGAGAGAGAGAGAGAGAGAGAGAGGAAAGUUUGGGGAGAGAGAGGGAGAGAGAUCGUGCAGAGGAAAGUACACAUAACGUUUGAAAUGCAGAACCAUUCAUUAUGUUUGAAUACGGUAAAUGGUUCAUCGCAUUCAACUUAAAUUCCACUUCUAAUAUAACGCUUGUGUGACGCUCACAUGGAAGAGAUAGGGUCAAUUUUGUAAAUAUAAAUUUUAUGGGGCUAUUUGUAAAAAAAAAUAUUUGUCAAGGGGCUAAAUGCAAAAAAAAAGCUCAUGUAUAAAUGAUAUAAUAUUUUUUAGAUUAUAAUAAUUAGGUUAAUUUCAUACAUGUCCUUAUAAAGUAUCAAAUAGCAGAUAAAUUCCUACAAAACUUAAGUGAUCGAUUUUAUUUUUCAAAAAUUCUCUUGUUUGCAAAUAUAUCCCUCUAAAAGUUCUAUUUCAUUCAUACAUAUUCCUGCUGUUUGAUUCAUUGUUAGUUUUUUAACAGUAGGUGCGUAAAAUAAUUAUUUUGCCUUUAUAAAUUUGUCUCUACAAAAAGUUGUCUUUCUUUUUCUCUCUCUCUUCUUGCCUUCAUCGCAACACGUGCGGUGUACCUCAUUUUUGUCGUGGCCGAAGACCUUGCCUUCGAUGUCGUCGCCACCGUAGGUCUUGUCGUUGCCAUGAAUAAAAAAGAGAAGGUAAGUUUCGGAGCGUAACAUCAACAUUGGAAUACAAAUUGUAUAUAAAAAAGGUGCAAAGGUUAUUUUAUUCCUUAGCUAACUGUAGUUAAUUAGUUUUUUUAACACAUGGUUAUCUAAAUUUUGGUAAUAGAAGGAUAUAUUUGCAGACAAAAGGACUUUUGAGUGAAUAAAUCUAAUAACUUAAAUUUAUAGGGACGUAUUUACUAUUU
This 1246-nucleotide long non-coding RNA is filed under the name Ananas comosus (pineapple). RNAcentral describes it as "long non-coding RNA (ACOM_LNC019469)". The record is from RNAcentral. Lineage: Eukaryota; Viridiplantae; Streptophyta; Magnoliopsida; Poales; Bromeliaceae.